This 447-nucleotide ribosomal RNA is filed under the name uncultured bacterium. Its description in RNAcentral is "partial 16S ribosomal RNA". It matches the Rfam family "Bacterial small subunit ribosomal RNA", at positions 331 to 794 of the family's 1533-position model. The record is from RNAcentral.
CCAGACUCCUACGGGAGGCAGCAGUGGGGGAUAUUGCACAAUGGGGGAAACCCUGAUGCAGCGACGCCGCGUGGGCGAAGAAGUAUUUCGGUAUGUAAAGCCCUAUCAGCAGGGAAGAAGAAAUGACGGUACCUGAGUAAGAAGCAUCGGCUAACUCCGUGCCAGCAGCCGCGGUAAUACGGAGGAUGCGAGCGUUAUCCGGAUUUAUUGGGUUUAAAGGGUGCGUAGGCGGAUUUUUAAGUCAGCGGUAAAAUGUCCGGGCUCAACCCGGGCCGGCCGUUGAAACUGGGGAUCUUGAGUGGGCGAGAAGUAUGCGGAAUGCGUGGUGUAGCGGUGAAAUGCAUAGAUAUCACGCAGAACUCCGAUUGCGAAGGCAGCAUACCGGCGCCCGACUGACGCUGAGGCACGAAAGCGUGGGGAUCGAACAGGAUUAGAUACCCUUGUAGU